ACCCAAGAUUCUUGGCUUAAGCACAAUAUUUUUGUCUGUUGCAUGGUGACAGAUGCAGGCUUCAUUCUACCUUCACUGCCAGGGCAGCAGGGCCUUUCCUGCUUCUGCACUUUGGCGUCAGAUUGACUGACUGGGGAUCAAAUUCCAGCUCCAGCCUUUCAGCUUAGACUUUUCUAAGUCCACACGAGGUCUCCAUUUUCUCCUCUACUGGGAGCAGAAGAUUACCAAAGAAAGAAAAGACAAACGCAUCAGCUAUUUGAAAAAGCAAGCCCAGAAAACAACUGACAAACCAAACAAAUCUGGGAGGCUCAGCAUACACAUUUUUCCCUUCUAGAAGCUCCGAAGUGCUAAUACACCGUUUACAUUUAAAUCUGGCGACAUUCAAAUGAAGAAAGCCAAUGGAAGUGAGUUAUGUUGGAUGCCUCCUCUUCCACAACUCCCUCCCCUUGAGUCAUGACAUUGGCAAUUUCAAAUAGGAAGCAAUCCCAAUGAAAGGUUGCAAACACCCUUUCAAGGUCUUUCUCCUUGUGGGCCCCGCAUACCUGCAACUACAUUCUUUCUCCUGAACCAGGCU
This 574-nucleotide long non-coding RNA is filed under the name Macaca mulatta (Rhesus monkey). Its description in RNAcentral is "lncRNA (ENSMMUG00000061815.1)". The record is from RNAcentral. Lineage: Eukaryota; Metazoa; Chordata; Mammalia; Primates; Cercopithecidae.